Molecule: ribosomal RNA, 480 nt
Filed under: uncultured bacterium
Lineage: Bacteria
Description: partial 16S ribosomal RNA
Rfam family: Bacterial small subunit ribosomal RNA
Source: RNAcentral
GAUGAACGCUGGCGGCGUGCCUAACACAUGCAAGUCGAACGGAGAUUACGGACGGAAGUUUUCGGAUGGAAGACUGUAAUUCUUAGUGGCGGACGGGUGAGUAACGCGUGGGCAACCUGCCCUAUACAGGGGGAUAGCAGCUGGAAACGGCUGGUAAGACCGCAUAAGUCGGCGAGACCGCAUGGUUUUGCCGGGAAAUGAGCAAUCAGGUAUAGGAUGGGCCCGCGUCCGAUUAGCCAGUUGGCAGGGUAAAAGCCUACCAAAGCAACGAUCGGUAGCCGGACUGAGAGGUCGGACGGCCACAUUGGGACUGAGACACGGCCCAAACUCCUACGGGAGGCAGCAGUGGGGGAUAUUGCACAAUGGAGGAAGCUCUGAUGCAGCGACGCCGCGUGAGUGAAGAAGUAUUUCGGUAUGUAAAGCUCUAUCAGCAGGGAAGAUGAUGACGGUACCUGACUAAGAAGCCCCGGCUAACUACGU